Brassica rapa (field mustard) is the source of this 1334-nucleotide long non-coding RNA. RefSeq lists it as uncharacterized. NCBI's taxonomy places the organism in Eukaryota, Viridiplantae, Streptophyta, Magnoliopsida, Brassicales, Brassicaceae. The record is from RefSeq and is a predicted model, not a curated record.
GCCGACUUGAAAGCAUACUCUGUAUAUUCAUAAAAUUUGUAUAUGUGCUCUCUCUCUCUCUCUCUCUCUCUCUCUCUCUCUCUCUCUUUUCAUCUCAACUAUGUUACUCUGUUUUGAUAUUUGUUUGAUCCAGUGUUAUAUCUAAUUCUUCAUCUCACUUCCAGUAACCGGUAAGGAGAGAUGAAGCAUAUAAAUAAUUAGUUCAUCAAUCAGUGGAAUUGGCACAUCAAUCCAUCUUCUUCCACUGUCUUGAAUUGGCAUAUAGAUAGAUAUUGACCUAACACUUCUCUGGUCUUAAAGAAGUAUCCUAACCUUAUAAUAGAUUUGACUCGAGUCUGAAACAACUUUGUGUGUAUGAAAUUGAUGCAGGUGAAAGUACCCGGAGAUAUCAGUAGAAAUAACAAAUAUAUGGAGUCAAUUUGGGAGCUGCAUUGGAUGAGAUGUGAAGCAGUAAUUAGGGGGCUUAUACAGGAGACGGGGCAGUACUAGAAAGCAGCUUUUUGUGCAAUUACAACAUUGUAAGUAGUUUCGUUAUGUCUUGCCAUAUCUAUAUUUAAUUAGUAGUACACAAACCAACGAUGAAAAAUGAAGAUUCAAGCAUUUUUUUUAUUUUUUAUUAAAAUUUAUAGUUUUUUUUUUAUAAGAGUAGUCUCUCAUGUUUAGUGUUUUCACUGGGUUAAGUGUGGAUUUUAGAAAUUGUUCUGUAGGGAUGAUGAGUACUUUUGUAUAUUUCUCUAUGAUUAUGUUUUGAAAGUGGAUUUAUUGAGUGACGUUUUGGGUGUUUGGGUUUUCACGGUAGUAGAAUGCAAUGGUGGAUUUUUGUUGGUUGGGAACGGUAAAGAAAAAGUUGAAGCAGAAACAAUGUAACAUCUGACCCUGGAGAUCAUUGGGGCUGGGAAGAAGAAGCUUUAUGAAGCAAAAGUGUAGGUGAAGCCAAGGUUGAACUUGAAGGACUUGCAGGAGUUCAAGCCUGCCGGUGAUGCUGCCCCUACCAUCACUCCUUCCUAUCUUGGCUGCAAAUAAGCAAAGGAGUUCAAAAUGAUCUCACCCCGAGAAAGUCAUCUAUAAAGCUGAUUGAUCCUAAGCGAGCUCACCAAAUUAGCAGAAGCGGUAGAUGAGGUAGAUGAAGAGAGCAAAGUAGAGACAGUAAUGGUGACAAUGAUCUCUUUACAGAGUGUACGGAAAUAGUGGCAGUGACUACAUCAGAAAAUACUCCAAAAAUAAGUGGAUGACUUCAACGUACCAAGCUUUUGUGUUUCCAUGUCCAACAGUGUAUGAAUUUUCGUUUGUCAAUUCGUUUUUUCUUAACUUUAUAAAAAAUUCCUUUUUUAUUA